Long non-coding RNA from Oncorhynchus kisutch (coho salmon), 2546 nucleotides. NCBI's taxonomy places the organism in Eukaryota, Metazoa, Chordata, Actinopteri, Salmoniformes, Salmonidae. The record is from Ensembl.
CUCAACCCCAAUUUCAGCUUUUGCCCAACCCCCUAAAAUAAAAUAAAAUGCAUUCAGGUGAGAAGUAGUGCGUGGAGGGAAAUGACUCAUCAAUACAGCAUUCAUUUUCGGUGAGGAUAAACAUAGUUGCACAUGAUCCCAACACUUGCUCACUAAAGCAUACUUACCAGAAGUCCACUGGCAUGAUUUGAUAAUACAAUGAUGUGCAUUGCAAGCAAAUAUGGUUCUGGACAGAUAGCUUACAGUGAUAAAACACUGCAUUUCUGACAUCUAUUUCCCCUUGCAGUGUAUGUUGGAAUCCCCCAUGGGGUACAAAACAAUCUUUGCAAUUGGCUCAAUCUGGAAUGGGUGGGUAGAGUCACUCUUUAAAACUGUCGGAUUGGUCCAUGAUGUGUAAACUCCACCCUCCAGCAGACCAGUGCACACCAGCUGCAUGAAAUCAAGAGCACCUAAUCGCAAUUGGGAAAAUGAACCAAUUGAAAUUAAGUUCAUUGGUUGACACCUGUACAUAAUUAGUCAUUCAGGUAAGAAGGGUCUGGGAUUCCUUUAUGAGGUGCAACCAAAACAGCUGUUAGACAUUGCAACAGGGAUAUUCUGGCAGGGUGUCUGUCUAGCAUUAGUUCUGAAUACGGUUGUGGUUUUGAUAACUAAUAUGGCUUUUGGACUCUCUUUGAGUGUUUCUUGGAUUUGUUGCCUGCUAAUUGGAGGGAUAACUUGUUUUACACUUAAAGGUAAUGCUCAUGGGCAUCCUACCUACACUGGACCUGAACCAACUGGAUCCUAUGCCCAAGCAAGUGUGGUGUCUGGUCCAAAUGCUAAAGCUACUGGCCAAAAUGCCACGUCAGCAGAAGCUACUGGCCACAAUGCCACGUCAGCAGAAGCUACUGGCCACAAUGCCAUGUCAAGUGUCAAGUCCGGCCCCGGCGCCUCAGCAGAAGCAACAGGCCCCGGCGCCUCAGCAGAAGCAACAGGCCCCGGCGCCUCAGCAGAAGCAACAGGCCCCGGCGCCUCAGCAGAAGCAACAGGCCCCGGCGCCUCAGCAGAAGCAACAGGCCCCGGCGCCUCAGCAGUAGCGUCCGGCCCCGGCGCCUCAGCAGUAGCGACAGGCCCCGGCGCCUCAGCAGAAGCGACAGGCCCCGGCGCCUCAGCAGAAGCGACAGGCCCCGGCGCCUCAGCAGAAGCGACAGGCCCCCGCGCCUCGUCAGCAGAAGCUACUGGCCACAAUGUCACGUCAGCAGAAGCUACUGGCCACAAUGCCACGUCAGCAGAAGCUACUGGCCACAAUGCCAUGUCAAGUGUAAAGUCCGGCCCCGGCGCCUCAGUAGAAGCAACAGGCCCCGGCGCCUCAGCGGUAGCGUCCGGCCCCGGCGCCUCAGCGGAAGCAACAGGCCCCGGCGCCUCAGCGGAAGCAACAGGCCCCGGCGCCUCAGCUGAAGCAACAGGCCCCCGGCGCCUCAGCAGAAGCAACAGGCCCCGGCGCCUCAGCAGAAGCAACAGGCCCCGGCGCCUCAGCAGAAGCAACAGGCCCCGGCGCCUCAGCAGAAGCGGCAGGCCCCGGCGCCUCAGCAGAAGCGACAAGCCUUGAACAGACGGCCCGACCUCUCAACUAGGGAGAUCAUAAUUUGGUUUGGCCAACUCUUUAAUCGUCUUAUCCCUGUUACCUUUACCCUUUUCUGCAAGAGGCACAGUAACUGAGGUGGGGAAAUGUGUGAACUAAUGCGCUUGUUUGAAAUGAGGAUCUCCUUCACUUGUACAUCGUCAUGCAAAUUGUAUACAGAGGUGGAUGAUACAAUGUUAUGAAUCGUUUUUAUAAACCUACGACUAAAUUGACUUCUGAUGUAGCGAUAUUGCAGACACACUUUUAGGUUCUACGGUUAUGCUUUUGAUUUAGCCUGGUGUUCCUGCAACUCUUGCAUGAUUUGCUCAAUAAACCAUUUGACUUUCAAAAAACCUUGUCCUUAAAAUAUAAUCUCUUCUGCCUACCAUGUGCUUGCUGUUUGGUAACAGACUGUGGGCCUGGAGUAAAAGGGAAUUUGCGUUUUUGUUAUACACUUGUCUAAACAGAUUUGUUUCUGCUAGUUUGUUCUAAAGUUUUCUAACUUGUCAGAGCUCCCUCAUAUGUUCAUACACUACCUGUCCCUUAGUGUAGGCUGUUUGCUUUACAGUAAUCUGCCUUUUUCCACCAAUGCCUAAAGAAUGUGAAUGCAGUGUAACUCAUCGUCCCAUUACCUGUCACUAACCUGUCCCAGGGACGCUGAAGUUUCUCCUUGACCUUAUUCAGAAACAUUAAAUCAACUUGACACAUUCUGACUGUUCUACAAUGUUGGUCUGGCCAGACACAUGGAUGCAAUCAUAUGCGUGCAUUUAUUUCAGCUGUGAAAAGUACUCGAAGUCGUUCAGACAUUCCUUAUGUCAACUCUCAAUGUGGUCUUCUGCACAAUCCAUUUCUACACUACCACAAUGAGGUUGCACUCGCAGAAGCCCCUGACAGGAACUUCAAUAGAUUUUAUAAAGGUGCUCUUAAGCUCUCACUUUGUACAACAUUA